This 429-nucleotide ribosomal RNA is filed under the name Bacteroidota bacterium. RNAcentral describes it as "Bacteroidetes bacterium partial 16S ribosomal RNA". It matches the Rfam family "Bacterial small subunit ribosomal RNA", at positions 355 to 776 of the family's 1533-position model. The record is from RNAcentral. Lineage: Bacteria; Pseudomonadati; Bacteroidota.
UAGGGAAUCUUCGGCAAUGGGGGGAACCCUGACCGAGCAACGCCGCGUGAGUGAAGAAGGUUUUCGGAUCGUAAAGCUCUGUUGUUAAGGAAGAACGAGUGUGAGAAUGGAAAGUUCAUACUGUGACGGUACUUAACCAGAAAGGGACGGCUAACUACGUGCCAGCAGCCGCGGUAAUACGUAGGUCCCGAGCGUUGUCCGGAUUUAUUGGGCGUAAAGCGAGCGCAGGCGGUUAGAAAAGUCUGAAGUGAAAGGCAGUGGCUCAACCAUUGUAGGCUUUGGAAACUGUUUAACUUGAGUGCAGAAGGGGAGAGUGGAAUUCCAUGUGUAGCGGUGAAACGCGUAGAUAUAUGGAGGAACACCGGUGGCGAAAGCGGCUCUCUGGUCUGUAACUGACGCUGAGGCUCGAAAGCGUGGGGAGCGAACAGG